GGGUCGAUGCCCGAGGGGUUAAUGGGGACGGACUGUAAAUUCGUUGGCAAUUUGUCUACGCUGGUUCAAAUCCAGCUCGGCCCA
This 84-nucleotide transfer RNA is filed under the name Corydalis wilsonii. Its description in RNAcentral is "tRNA-Tyr". It matches the Rfam family "tRNA". Rfam says of the family: Transfer RNA (tRNA) molecules are approximately 80 nucleotides in length. The record is from RNAcentral. RNAcentral also lists the same sequence under 12 other names. Lineage: Eukaryota; Viridiplantae; Streptophyta; Magnoliopsida; Ranunculales; Papaveraceae.